RNAcentral lists this ribosomal RNA (322 nucleotides) under uncultured eukaryote. Its description in RNAcentral is "partial 18S ribosomal RNA". It matches the Rfam family "Eukaryotic small subunit ribosomal RNA", at positions 1470 to 1796 of the family's 1831-position model. The record is from RNAcentral.
CCCUUAGAUGUUCUGGGCCGCACGCGUGCUACACUGAGUGGAUCAGCGGGUCAGGUUGCGCGAAAGCGUUUCCUAAUCUUUAAAUCCGCUCGUGAUGGGGAUUGACGGUUGCAAUUUUCUGUCAUGAACGAGGAAUACCUUGUAAGCGCGGGUCAUCAUCCCGCGCUGAAUACGUCCCUGCCCUUUGUACACACCGCCCGUCGCUCCUACCGAUUGAGUGGUCCGGUGAGGCUUUGGGAUCUGAGCGGAAAGAGCGUUUCGCUGUUUCUGUUCGGAAAACUCAGUCGAACCUUAUCAUUUAGAGGAAGGAGGAGUCGUAACA